UACGUAGGGUCCAAGCGUUAUCCGGAAUCACUGGGCGUAAAGCGUGCGUAGGUGGAUGUUUAAGUGUAAUGCGAAAUCCUGUGGCUCAACCAUAUGGACUGUAUUGCAUACUGGGCAUCUAGAGGAUGGUAGAGGCAAGUGGAACUGGCAGUGUAGCAGUGAAAUGCGUAGAUAUUGCCAAGAACACCAAUGGCGAAGGCAGCUUGCUGGGCCACACCUGACACUAAGGCACGAAAGCGUGGGGAGCGAA
This 250-nucleotide ribosomal RNA is filed under the name uncultured bacterium. RNAcentral's name for it is "partial 16S ribosomal RNA". It matches the Rfam family "Bacterial small subunit ribosomal RNA", at positions 524 to 772 of the family's 1533-position model. The record is from RNAcentral.